This 274-nucleotide ribosomal RNA is filed under the name uncultured bacterium. RNAcentral's name for it is "partial 16S ribosomal RNA". It matches the Rfam family "Bacterial small subunit ribosomal RNA", at positions 523 to 796 of the family's 1533-position model. The record is from RNAcentral.
AUACGGAGGGUGCAAGCGUUAAUCGGAAUUACUGGGCGUAAAGGGUUCGUAGGCGGUUAUUUAAGUCAGAUGUGAAAGCCCCGGGCUCAACCUGGGAAUUGCAUCUGAUACUGGGUAACUAGAGUUUAAGAGAGGAGUGUGGAAUUUCCGGUGUAGCGGUGAAAUGCAUAGAGAUCGGAAGGAAUAUCAGUGGCGAAGGCGGCACUCUGGCUUAAAACUGACGCUGAGGAACGAAAGCGUGGGUAGCAAACAGGAUUAGAAACCCUUGUAGUCC